RNAcentral lists this ribosomal RNA (303 nucleotides) under uncultured bacterium. RNAcentral describes it as "partial 16S ribosomal RNA". It matches the Rfam family "Bacterial small subunit ribosomal RNA", at positions 507 to 807 of the family's 1533-position model. The record is from RNAcentral.
AGCAGCCGCCGCGGGAAUACGAAGGGUGCAAGCGUUAAUCGGAAUUACUGGGCGUAAAGCGUGCGUAGGCGGUGAGUUAAGUCUGCUGUGAAAUCCCCGGGCUCAACCUGGGAAUGGCAGUGGAUACUGGCUCGCUAGAGUGUGUCAGAGGAUGGUGGAAUUCCCGGUGUAGCGGUGAAAUGCGUAGAGAUCGGGAGGAACAUCAGUGGCGAAGGCGGCCAUCUGGGACAACACUGACGCUGAGGCACGAAGGCGUGGGGAGCAAACAGGAUUAGAUACCCGUGUAGUCCAUGUCUCUUAUAC